UUUAUUAUUAUUUAAUUUAGUAGUAUAUUAAUAUAUAUAUAUAUACUUUUUAUUUUAGCCUCCUAGUGAAUUAAAACUUAAUGGAAAAGCUGAUGUUGUAUAUGAUGCCUUGAAACAUCUCUUAUAUAUUGCUGAACUUCCAGUUAUAAAUAUUUUACAUCCUUGCCUAUUGAAAUUUCUUUCAGGACAAGAAAGAAAUCCAAAGAAUUCUUCAGUAGAUUUCAGAUCAACUCGUUAUGAUGAAGUAUAUGGACAACUUUUGUGGAAUAUGGAGCAUGAACAAAAAAUAUUAUUUCGAAGAGCAUAUUCUGCUUAUAUUCCUGAAUAUAUUAAUGCAAUGGGAAUAGCUGUAUGUUAUCAUAUGAAGCAAACUUUAAGAACGUUGUUAGAAUACUUAUUAAUAUAUGAUGGACCAGAAGAAGUGAGUAGAAGAAAUGCACUUCUGUCACUAAAAGUGUUGAUUUCUGUUGCUUGGCCAAGAAUACCUUAUCAUUGGGAAGAAAUUAUGAAAAAUAUUCUUAUUUGUAUAUAUGAAGUAGAAGAAGAAGAUAUAUCUAUUGAAGUAAAGUCAUUACUUUUGAAUGAAGCAAGAAAUUGUUUAUUAUAUAUGAAAAAAGCAUGUCCUGAAAAAUUUGAACCUGUAAAGAAAGGUCAACUCUGCCAUGAAAUUGUUUAUUCCUCAAAUGUGCAUUUGAAAGGACUGGAUUGGAAUAAAGACACAUUUGUGUUUUUAAAGAGUGCUCCAACUGAUUCAACUUUACCAGUCAUUGAUAUGAUUAAAUCACUUGACAAAUAUGAGUAAAAUAAAUAUGAAAAAUUUCAUCAAGAUAUAAAUCUUCUGGUAAUUUAAAGGUAUAUAAUUUCUACAUCCUCAGUAAUUUUUAUGCAAGUUUGGAAAUUGAAUAUACUGUAUUUUGGUCCAUCGACGACCGAUACUUCCGACAGCCUCUGCCAAGGAGACAACCUCAGCCUCACUUGUCGCCUCUGACAGAGGAGAGAG
This 1000-nucleotide unclassified non-coding RNA is filed under the name Centruroides sculpturatus (bark scorpion). RNAcentral's name for it is "tELO2-interacting protein 2-like, transcript variant X6". The record is from RNAcentral. Lineage: Eukaryota; Metazoa; Arthropoda; Arachnida; Scorpiones; Buthidae.